RNAcentral lists this ribosomal RNA (253 nucleotides) under uncultured bacterium. RNAcentral's name for it is "partial 16S ribosomal RNA". It matches the Rfam family "Bacterial small subunit ribosomal RNA", at positions 524 to 776 of the family's 1533-position model. The record is from RNAcentral.
UACGAAGGGUGCAAGCGUUACUCGGAAUUACUGGGCGUAAAGCGUGCGUAGGUGGUUCGUUAAGUCUGAUGUGAAAGCCCUGGGCUCAACCUGGGAAUGGCAUUGGAAACUGGCGACCUAGAGUGCGGUAGAGGGUAGUGGAAUUCCCGGUGUAGCAGUGAAAUGCGUAGAGAUCGGGAGGAACAUCCGUGGCGAAGGCGACUACCUGGACCAGCACUGACACUGAGGCACGAAAGCUUGGGGAGCAAACAGG